Small nucleolar RNA from Pygocentrus nattereri (red-bellied piranha), 95 nucleotides. Its record names the gene SNORD14. It matches the Rfam family "Small nucleolar RNA SNORD14". From Rfam's summary of the family: U14 small nucleolar RNA (U14 snoRNA) is required for early cleavages of eukaryotic precursor rRNAs. In yeasts, this molecule possess a stem-loop region (known as the Y-domain) which is essential for function. A similar structure, but with a different consensus sequence, is found in plants, but is absent in vertebrates. Lineage: Eukaryota; Metazoa; Chordata; Actinopteri; Characiformes; Serrasalmidae. The record is from Ensembl.
UCGCUGUGAUGAAGUUGAUUCCUGCCAUUCGUAGUUUCCACCAGAGGUCGAAAGACCAGAGACGGCACAAGUUCCUUCCUUGGAUGUCUGAGCGA